CUUAUUUUAUGUUGGUGUAUAUCUGGUUGAAUAUUAUUGCUUUAAUUGCUUAAUUUGUGGAUAAUAAUUAUUUAAGCCAAGUCUAUGUGCUGCUUAUAUAAGUUUUCAUGCGUUACAUUUAUAAUUUUAUUUAUGUAAAUAGUAAAUUUUAGGACUUAAUAGUAAUAUAAAAUUAGUUUGUUUGUGUGAAGUUGGUUUAGCUUGGGUACACACCGCCCGUCCA
RNAcentral lists this ribosomal RNA (223 nucleotides) under Wardium arctica. RNAcentral's name for it is "partial 12S ribosomal RNA". Lineage: Eukaryota; Metazoa; Platyhelminthes; Cestoda; Cyclophyllidea; Hymenolepididae. The record is from RNAcentral.